GCCGUGCGAGCGCAAUCUGCCUGCCUUGGAGAUCCCUCUAUCCGAAAGAUCAGUUCCAUUUCCGGGACCACCCUCUCAGGAUUCCUCUGGGAACCCAGCCGCCGGGCACCGCUCCCCGCUUUCCUCUGGGCUCCAGAAUGACCUACGCCAAGCACAGAGCAGUCCCCAGCAUGGCUGCCGCGUUCCGGUUUCUUUGUCAAUGUGAAGCGUCCUUGUUGCCGGUCGCGUUGCCAUCCCAACGCCCUUUCUGUGCUCUCGGAGUGGCCAGCAGGGGGAGCUACGCGGCCGUUUCCGAGCCCCAGGCGGGGCUUUGUGACCGGCCAGGGCUUCUCCUAAGGAGUCCUAAGGACAGUACCUGUGGAUCUUAACGUUAGGGAAGAUAGAAACCGUCCUGGGCAUGGCAUGGAGAUUCACUGGGUACUUCUGCAGAUAGAACCUUAGGAGUCAGAAAGCUGGAUGUUCUAGCUGUCGAGAGCUUUGCCGUCAGACAUCCCUCUGAUGAGAUUUCUUAGUUACCUUACCUCCAGCGAGUGGCUUAAACUCUUCCAGGCACGGUUUCUUCAUACGAAAAACUGGAGAAUCCAAGCUGCCCUCAGGGGGAUGCUGGAAGAGUCUCUGUGUGGCUAAUAGAGAUCUCAGCCACGGAGGCAUUCGGGGAAUGCGAGGUAUCAUCGCUCAGUGAAGGCUGAGCCAAUUUCGAAGCACCCCGACCAGAAUUCUCUCUCUCGGCUCUUUUCUCUCUCCUGGCCCGAUGGCCUCCUUUUCUCUCCCUUCAGCUCUGCAUUCUCUCCCUGCCUUUCCUGCCUGUAGCUGAGGCCUGGAACCCACGCCGUGGACCUCAUCCUGGGCGGCGUCUAUCCUCCCCGUUCCUGGAUACCUGGAGCGGCUGCACCAGUUUGCAUUCCCACCAACAGCGCAAGAGGGUUCCCGUUUCUCCGCAUCCUCGCCAGCAUCUAGCGUCUCCUGAUUUGUUCAUUUCACAGCCUCACCUCCACUUGGGCACCUGUUCAGGUCUGGGUUGACCCGGGUAGUUUGGGUUGGGGCACAUGUGGAAGUCUCCAUGCAUUCUGUCCUCCGAAUCUCAAACGACGCUGCCUUUGUUCUGCAACUGGAGGGCCGGUCUCAAUGCUCUCUGUCCUCAGGGAUAGGUUUCCUUUGUUUCCAUUUGAAACGCCGCGUCUCUUAGUGGACGGAUAAAAGCCCUGUGCGUGGAAUGACUAACUUGUUUUGGCCCUGGAAGUCCUAUGUCCCUGCAAAACCGUCAGUCCCAGGUGGGGCCGGCCACCCCGUGGGACAGAGCAUAAUCGAUGUUGGCCGCACGCAGACAUUUCUCGCAGCACCUGAUGAAUGGGGGAUGCGGGCCAAGCUGCUGUCUUCCAGAAUUUGGCAGUGAGAGGGGUCAAAGGCGGACCUCAAUCCAAAAGAAGACACCUUGAGGGGCGCCUGGGUGGCUCAGUCAGUUGAGCGUCCGACUUCGGCUCAGGUCAUGAUCUCGCACUUCGUGAGU
Molecule: long non-coding RNA, 1507 nt
Organism: Herpailurus yagouaroundi (jaguarundi)
Lineage: Eukaryota; Metazoa; Chordata; Mammalia; Carnivora; Felidae
Exons: 3
Source: RefSeq, a predicted model, not a curated record